UGGUCUCUCUAUACAAGGUACUAACAUAACUCUCUCUCUCUCUCUCAACUAUAACAAAAGGAGAGUGAACUACCAAAAUGCAAAAGAAACGCUCCUUGCUAGCUAGCUAAGCGAUCCCCUUGCCGCGGUCCCGUGCCUCCACCGGUGUAGAGGGCUCUGAAAUAAAACCAUAGAAACGGGGGCGUGAGAACUAUUAAAAAUAGUUCCUAGUGGGCAAUUACUGACUUCAGUGAAAUGCGCCACUAGGCCCAAAACUGAACAAAAGAGGGUAAGUACGAGUAUAAUCAAAAGAAAUAGCACAACUAAACAUAAGUACUUACUAUACCAUGAUGUCUCAACUAAGCAUGAAUUUGCGUAAUUAAUAAAGCUACUAUAACAUGAAUGUACAUGAAUGUGACUAGCAUGUAUAAGCAUGAAUAUGCAACCAACUGAAUGUCCACAAUGUAGAUAGUAAAAUGUCAUUGUUGACUAUUCUAGUCAAAGUUCAAAAUGGCAUGUUCUGUCACUAAGUUCCAAUUAUGUAAGACCCACCCGUAGGCUGCCUGGUCUGCGCCGUGCCUAAUGGCCCCGUGGUAGUCAACAUCCCCACUCUAGGAAUGAGCCUCC
This 606-nucleotide long non-coding RNA is filed under the name Ananas comosus (pineapple). Its description in RNAcentral is "long non-coding RNA (ACOM_LNC000556)". Lineage: Eukaryota; Viridiplantae; Streptophyta; Magnoliopsida; Poales; Bromeliaceae. The record is from RNAcentral.